GGACAGAAAGACCCUAUGAACCUUUACUGUAACUUGGCAUUGGGACUCGGGUUAGUAUGUGUAGGAUAGGUGGGAGGCUUUGAAGCAGGAGCGCUAGCUCUUGUGGAGCCGUCCUUGAAAUACCACCCUUACUUGCUUGGGUUUCUAACCUAGCGCCAUCAUCCGGUGCAGGGACAGUGUCUGGUGGGCAGUUUGACUGGGGCGGUCGCCUCCCAAAUUGUAACGGAGGCGUUCAAAGGUUCCCUCAGGCCGAUUGGAAACCGGCCGCAGAGCGCAAGAGCAUAAGGGAGCUUAACUGCGAGACAGACAUGUCGAGCAGGUGCGAAAGCAGGAUCUAGUGAUCCGGUGGCACCACAUGGAAGGACCAUCGCUCAACGGAUAAAAGGUACUCUAGGGAUAACAGGCUGA
RNAcentral lists this ribosomal RNA (408 nucleotides) under uncultured organism. RNAcentral describes it as "bacterial LSU rRNA". It matches the Rfam family "Bacterial large subunit ribosomal RNA", at positions 2078 to 2485 of the family's 2925-position model. The record is from RNAcentral.